GUUCUUAUAGUUGAAUACAACGGUGGUUUUUCAAGUCAUUGGUCUAAGUUAGAGUCUUAGUGAGAAUA
RNAcentral lists this transfer RNA (68 nucleotides) under Poeciliopsis monacha (headwater livebearer). Its description in RNAcentral is "tRNA-Glu". It matches the Rfam family "tRNA". Rfam says of the family: Transfer RNA (tRNA) molecules are approximately 80 nucleotides in length. Their secondary structure includes four short double-helical elements and three loops (D, anti-codon, and T loops). Further hydrogen bonds mediate the characteristic L-shaped molecular structure. tRNAs have two regions of fundamental functional importance: the anti-codon, which is responsible for specific mRNA codon recognition, and the 3' end, to which the tRNAs corresponding amino acid is attached (by aminoacyl-tRNA synthetases). tRNAs cope with the degeneracy of the genetic code in two manners: having more than one tRNA (with a specific anti-codon) for a particular amino acid; and 'wobble' base-pairing, i.e. permitting non-standard base-pairing at the 3rd anti-codon position. Lineage: Eukaryota; Metazoa; Chordata; Actinopteri; Cyprinodontiformes; Poeciliidae. The record is from RNAcentral.